CUUAUAAAAAAUGCCGUAAAAUACAAGUGGACGAUACGUGUCCGAUAUUUUGCAGUGUAGAAUCACCAAAAAAGGUUUGGUCCAAAUCCGUGACACACCAACCUAGUCGCCCCUUUGUAAGACCCAACAUUGAAUAAGGCGAAAUGCCAUGAGACCACAUAAGUUAGGAUAGACAGACUAAAAUGAACGGUAACCUCCAAAUUCCUCAAAAAUGUUCCAAAAAUCUGAUUCGUUCCAGGGUCUACAUCAAGUGUAUUGUUAUUAUUCUUGCCGAUCUUGCUAUCACAGCGGAAUUUAAGAAAUACACAAAAUGUCAAUUUGCGGAGGAGGUGAAAAAUCACAACGCCAGAAAAAGUAUCGGAUUGGGUUUGCAUAGCAGAAGAUGCAAGUGGAUUUGACUCCGACUACAAAGCGAAUCUUGAAAUAUUAUCCUUAACACAUUACUACGGCCUUUUCGGGGUAUCUGACUAUAUGUGCGGUCUGUGGAACUUCUGCCGAAUGGAUUGCUC
Cimex lectularius (bed bug) is the source of this 509-nucleotide long non-coding RNA. RefSeq lists it as uncharacterized. Lineage: Eukaryota; Metazoa; Arthropoda; Insecta; Hemiptera; Cimicidae. The transcript has 3 exons. The record is from RefSeq and is a predicted model, not a curated record.